UGGGCGUCGGCAAGGUGGGAGCUGGGGUUUGGAACUGAGAAGGGUUUAAAUACUACUUUACAGCUCCUACCGCUCGGCACCUAGACCUUCGGCGUUGAUAAAUUGUGGCAAGGCUUCUGUGAGCACACCUUCAGUACAGUGGUUUCCUGUGUCGAAUUUUUGAGGACAUAGCCACUUUCAGCAAGGCUACUGAUCGACAGAGAGUGGAGUAAGGUCAAUUUUACAGGGUUGAUCUUCCCUUGCUUUUGGAGCUGGGUUCGGCAAGGAGAAUUUUAUGAUUCUUCCGUCUCUUCUACAGGGUUUUUAGAAGGAGGAAAGAAUGAAGCAUCCUUGAUCUGAGGUUGGCUGAUUCGGUAGGGCCUUCGCAAGUCACUUGUGAGCUUAUUUUCGGCAGGUAGCUUUUCG
Molecule: long non-coding RNA, 405 nt
Filed under: Prunus persica (peach)
Lineage: Eukaryota; Viridiplantae; Streptophyta; Magnoliopsida; Rosales; Rosaceae
Description: long non-coding RNA (PPER_LNC004746)
Source: RNAcentral